GACGAACGCUGGCGGCGUGCUUAACACAUGCAAGUCGAACGGAAAGGCCUGCUUUCCCUUGUGGAUUGCGGGUACUCGCGUGGCGAACGGGUGAGUAACACGUGAGUGAUCUGCCCCCAACUUGGGUAUAAGCCUGGGAAACUGGGUCUAAUUCCCGAUAGGACUGCAGGGUGGUGCCUGUGGUGGAAAACGAUUUUCUAGUGGUUGGGGAUGAGCUCGCGGCCUAUCAGCUUGUUGGCGGGGUAAUGGCCUACCAAGGCGGCGACGGGUAGCCGGCCUGGGAGGGUGGACGGCCGCAUUGGGACUGAGAUACGGCCCAGACUCCUACGGGAGGCAGCAGUGGGGAAGAUUGCACAAGGGGCGGAAGCCUGAUGCAGCGACGCCGCGUGGGGGAUGCCGGCCUUCGGGUUGUAAACUCCUUUCGACCGCGAGGAAGCCACCUGGUUGGAAGGGUGGUGACGGUAGUGGUGGAAGAAGCACCGGCUAACUACGUG
RNAcentral lists this ribosomal RNA (494 nucleotides) under uncultured bacterium. Its description in RNAcentral is "partial 16S ribosomal RNA". It matches the Rfam family "Bacterial small subunit ribosomal RNA", at positions 28 to 507 of the family's 1533-position model. The record is from RNAcentral.